RNAcentral lists this ribosomal RNA (440 nucleotides) under uncultured bacterium. RNAcentral describes it as "partial 16S ribosomal RNA". It matches the Rfam family "Bacterial small subunit ribosomal RNA", at positions 338 to 795 of the family's 1533-position model. The record is from RNAcentral.
CCUACGGGGGGCUGCAGUGGGGAAUAUUGCACAAUGGGGGAAACCCUGAUGCAGCGACGCCGCGUGAAGAAAGAAGUAUCUCGGUAUGUAAACUUCUAUCAGCAGGGAAGAAAAUGACGGUACCUGACUAAGAAGCCCCGGCUAACUACGUGCCAGCAGCCGCGGUAAUACGUAGGGGGCAAGCGUUCUCCGGAUUUACUGGGGGUAACGGGAGCGUAGACGGAAGAGCAAGUCUGAUGUGAAAGGCUGGGGCUUAACCCUAGGACUGCAUUGGAAACUGGUAUUCUAGAGUGCAGGAGAGGUAAGCGGAAUUCCUAGUGUAGCGGUGAAAUGCGCAGAUAUUAGGAGGAACACCAGUGGCGAAGGCGGCUUUCUGGACUGUAACUGACGUUGAUGCGCGAAAGCGUGGGGAGCAAACAGGAUUAGAUACCCGUGUAGUC